RNAcentral lists this ribosomal RNA (425 nucleotides) under uncultured prokaryote. RNAcentral's name for it is "bacterial SSU rRNA". It matches the Rfam family "Bacterial small subunit ribosomal RNA", at positions 355 to 796 of the family's 1533-position model. The record is from RNAcentral.
UGGGGAAUUUUCCGCAAUGGGCGCAAGCCUGACGGAGCAACGCCGCGUGAGGGAGGAAGGCCUGUGGGUUGUAAACCUCUUUUCUCAGGGAAGAAAUUUGACGGUACCUGAGGAAUCAGCAUCGGCUAACUCCGUGCCAGCAGCCGCGGUAAGACGGAGGAUGCAAGCGUUAUCCGGAAUUAUUGGGCGUAAAGCGUCCGUAGGUGGUUAUGCAAGUCUGCUGUCAAAGACUACAGCUCAACUGUGGGUAGGCAGUGGAAACUGUGUGACUAGAGUGUGGUAGGGGUAGAGGGAAUUCCUAGUGUAGCGGUGAAAUGCGUAGAUAUUAGGAAGAACACCAGUGGCGAAGGCGCUCUACUGGGCCAUAACUGACACUGAUGGACGAAAGCUAGGGGAGCGAAAGGGAUUAGAUACCCCUGUAGUCC